Molecule: ribosomal RNA, 496 nt
Filed under: uncultured bacterium
Lineage: Bacteria
Description: partial 16S ribosomal RNA
Rfam family: Bacterial small subunit ribosomal RNA
Source: RNAcentral
AUUGAACGCUGGCGGAAUGCUUUACACAUGCAAGUCGAACGGUAGAGGGGGCAACCCCUUGAGAGUGGCGAACGGGUGAGUAAUACAUCGGAACAUGCCCAGUCGUGGGGGAUAACGUAGCGAAAGCUACGCUAAUACCGCAUAUGAUCUAUGGAUGAAAGCGGGGGACCGAAAGGCCUCGCGCGAUUGGAGUGGCCGAUGGCAGAUUAGGUAGUUGGUGGGGUAAAGGCCUACCAAGCCUGCGAUCUGUAGCUGGUCUGAGAGGACGACCAGCCACACUGGGACUGAGACACGGCCCAGACUCCUACGGGAGGCAGCAGUGGGGAAUUUUGGACAAUGGGCGCAAGCCUGAUCCAGCCAUUCCGCGUGCAGGAUGAAGGCCCUCGGGUUGUAAACUGCUUUUGUACGGAACGAAAAGGUGGCCUCUAAUACAGGUUGCUGAUGACGGUACCGUAAGAAUAAGCACCGGCUAACUACGUGCCAGCAGCCGCCGUAA